UGUGUAUAGGACAGGAAGCAAGUGACUGC
This 29-nucleotide non-coding RNA is filed under the name Cricetulus griseus (Chinese hamster). The record is from RNAcentral. Lineage: Eukaryota; Metazoa; Chordata; Mammalia; Rodentia; Cricetidae.